AUUGAACGCUGGCGGCAGGCCUAACACAUGCAAGUCGAGCGAGCGGCGGACGGGUGAGUAAUGUCUGGGUAACUGCCUUCUGGAGGGGGGUAACUACUGGAAACGGUAGCUAAUACCGCAUAUUAUUUGAUUUUCCCAGAUGGGAUUAGCUAGUUGGUGGGGUAAUGGCUCACCUAGGCGACGAUCCCUAGCUGGUCUGAGAGGAUGACCAGCCACACUGGAACUGAGACACGGUCCAGACUCCUACGGGAGGCAGCAGUGGGGAAUAUUGCACAAUGGGCGCAAGCCUGAUGCAGCCAUGCCGCGUGUGUGAAGAAGGCCUUCGGGUUGUAAAGCACUUUCAGCGGGGAGGCGUUACCCGAAGAAGAAGCACCGGCUAACUCCGUGCCAGCAGCCGCGGUAAUUC
Molecule: ribosomal RNA, 406 nt
Filed under: uncultured bacterium
Lineage: Bacteria
Description: partial 16S ribosomal RNA
Rfam family: Bacterial small subunit ribosomal RNA
Source: RNAcentral